RNAcentral lists this ribosomal RNA (446 nucleotides) under uncultured bacterium. RNAcentral's name for it is "bacterial SSU rRNA". It matches the Rfam family "Bacterial small subunit ribosomal RNA", at positions 329 to 792 of the family's 1533-position model. The record is from RNAcentral.
GACCAGACUCCUACGGGAGGCAGCAGUGGGGAAUAUUGCACAAUGGGGGAAACCCUGAUGCAGCGACGCCGCGUGAGUGAAGAAGUAUUUCGGUAUGUAAAGCUCUAUCAGCAGGGAAGAAAAUGACGGUACCUGACUAAGAAGCCCCGGCUAACUACGUGCCAGCAGCCGCGGUAAUACGUAGGGGGCAAGCGUUAUCCGGAUUUACUGGGUGUAAAGGGAGCGUAGACGGCAUGGCAAGUCAGAUGUGAAAGCCCGGGGCUCAACCCCGGGACUGCAUUUGAAACUGUCAGGCUGGAGUGCAGGAGAGGUAAGUGGAAUUCCUAGUGUAGCGGUGAAAUGCGUAGAUAUUAGGAGGAACACCAGUGGCGAAGGCGGCUUACUGGACUGUAACUGACGUUGAGGCUCGAAAGCGUGGGGAGCAAACAGGAUUAGAUACCCUAGUA